Molecule: long non-coding RNA, 507 nt
Organism: Lactuca sativa (garden lettuce)
Lineage: Eukaryota; Viridiplantae; Streptophyta; Magnoliopsida; Asterales; Asteraceae
Source: RefSeq, a predicted model, not a curated record
AAGAGCAUAGCCAAAAUUUUGUCUCCCUCAUCCCCUCUCUACAAGUUUCCUUAGUUGAUAGCGUUUGAGUGUGAACUAUCAGAGACACGAGAUUUUUGGUGCUUGCUUUUAAGAGAAUUUGAAGAAAUGUUGGAUUAAUUUUUUUUACUAUAACAAAUCAAAAGGAAACGAUGUUGACAAGAUUAGAGGGUGACGAAACUGUGUUGAGGUGAAGAAAAGCAGAGGAAGAAAGAGAGAUGAAGACAUUGUUAAGGGCGUUGUGGAGGUAAAGAGAAGCAAGGUGUGUGUGUUCGUGUGUGUGGGUGUGGGGGGGGGAGGGGGUAGACUCCCCCACGACGUUAAGGUACCCGUACCGAGUAGUCUAGGAUUCAAAAAUUGUUUUCAAAGGGUAAAAAUCUAUAUAUGGUAAAUACGUAAACCCGUUUUUCUAAGAACAUGUUACACAAACCUCAUAUCUCUAGUUGACUAGAUAGAAAGAAUUAUAAUGAAACGAGUGGUUACAAGACA